CGGGGAGCAACAAAGAAAACACCAAAAAAGAUGUUGUACCAGUACAUAUUGAUCAAGAGUCUCAUUCGGUGGAGAAGGCGAAAAAUAAUGAAAGAGACAGAGAGGAUCAUGGCAGCACAGUAGGGAACAUAUGGAGGGAAGAAGAUGAAAUAUUUGAACAUGAAGGUAGUUCUAACGUCUUAGAAGAAGGAGUCAAAGACUUGCAGGAACUAACAAAUGAAGAGAAACAACA
This 232-nucleotide long non-coding RNA is filed under the name Solanum tuberosum (potato). RNAcentral's name for it is "long non-coding RNA (STUB_LNC003584)". Lineage: Eukaryota; Viridiplantae; Streptophyta; Magnoliopsida; Solanales; Solanaceae. The record is from RNAcentral.